UCAAACUCCGGUCGGUAUUGACUCCAAG
RNAcentral lists this small RNA (28 nucleotides) under Bombyx mori (domestic silkworm). RNAcentral describes it as "ovarian small RNA-24429". The record is from RNAcentral. Lineage: Eukaryota; Metazoa; Arthropoda; Insecta; Lepidoptera; Bombycidae.